Long non-coding RNA from Magnolia sinica, 447 nucleotides. RefSeq lists it as uncharacterized. The transcript is spliced from 3 exons. NCBI's taxonomy places the organism in Eukaryota, Viridiplantae, Streptophyta, Magnoliopsida, Magnoliales, Magnoliaceae. The record is from RefSeq and is a predicted model, not a curated record.
UGAGAGUUUAACCUCUCUCUCUCUCUCUCUCUCUCUCUCUCUCUCUCUCUCUCUCUCUCUCCAUUAUGCACUAAUGUAUGUACCAUAACAUUGACAUAUAACAUAAUUUUGGUCCACCAACCUUUUUUUUUGGACCUGCCAUCAGCCUGUUAGUUUACAAUAUUCCCCAUGAACAUGCAGUGGGUCCUUGAUUUGGAUUGCUGAGAUCGGCAUGCAUGCAAGGAAGAGGCAAGGUGAGAAACGGAGAGGCCAAACCUUCAUCCCGGGAGAGUACACAUGUGGCGGUGAGGGUCGUUCAACCCUUCCCUUCUUUUGAGAAUUGACUGUACUACGGGUUGUCUCCAAAGUGUUAUGUGGUCCCAUUAGGCUUUGGUGAGAGUUAUUUGCACAAUUUCAGGACUUGUGUCUACUUGCUGUCUCCGUCUUCUCGUCCUCGCCGUCUACUUG